CUAAGUUUGAUGGCGACCGGCGCACGGGUGAGUAACACGUAUCCAACCUGCCGAUGACUCGGGGAUAGCCUUUCGAAAGAAAGAUUAAUACCCGAUGGCAUAGUUCUUCCGCAUGGUAGAACUAUUAAAGAAUUUCGGUCAUCGAUGGGGAUGCGUUCCAUUAGGUUGUUGGCGGGGUAACGGCCCACCAAGCCUUCGAUGGAUAGGGGUUCUGAGAGGAAGGUCCCCCACAUUGGAACUGAGACACGGUCCAAACUCCUACGGGAGGCAGCAU
RNAcentral lists this ribosomal RNA (274 nucleotides) under uncultured bacterium. RNAcentral's name for it is "partial 16S ribosomal RNA". It matches the Rfam family "Bacterial small subunit ribosomal RNA", at positions 79 to 353 of the family's 1533-position model. The record is from RNAcentral.